RNAcentral lists this long non-coding RNA (1226 nucleotides) under Lupinus angustifolius (narrow-leaved blue lupine). Its description in RNAcentral is "long non-coding RNA (LANG_LNC003061)". The record is from RNAcentral. Lineage: Eukaryota; Viridiplantae; Streptophyta; Magnoliopsida; Fabales; Fabaceae.
UUAACUUCACACAUAAUGCUUAGUGCAUAUUAUAAGAGUGAUUGUCAUGGAUUCUUAGUUUAAUCGAGAACUUAUCAAGGAGUUUCCUUGUAGUGUUCCAAACCAGAACUUUUCAAGAGAUCAUUCUCUUGUAAUAUUCUAAAGGCUUACCCCUUCUAAGUGUGACAUCUCUUAUCACCAUCUCUUGUCUCAUUUCUUUUCCACUUAUUUUAUCAUUUUUUCGAUUUCCUUCAUUGCCUUAGAUUUAAGCACUAUAGAAUCCAUUGGUUGUUAUAUUUCUUCAAGAAAGUUGAGGGACAUUGGAACAUACGCAAACAACCUUCAGUUUUUCAUAUGAAUCCAUCAUCCUACACCCUCCACAAAUUCAAAAGCCAUAAACAAUUAUUUUUUCAUAUGAAUCCAUCACCCUACAACCUCCACAAAUUCGAAAGCCAUAAACAAUUAUUUUUUUAUAUUUACAACUCAAGAACGAUAUGAAGCAUUUAAUGGAAGGCAGAAUUUCAUCAUUUGGUAUCAUAGAACAUUGUAAAAAAAACUAAGCACCCAUAUAUAUCUAUUACAAAUAUUUAUUUUAAUUUUCAUAGAGUUUAUCAUUCAUUCAUGCAUUAAUGUUGUAAUUGUUUUUUAUUUCUAAUAAAAAUAGAGUUAAUUACAUUGAUAUUCCUGAGUUUUAAUGAAAUUACAAAAAUCACCCCUCACUUUUUUUACACCAACACAAACCUCUCAUAGUUUUUAUACUGUCAUUGCACUGAUCACCAUUGCAUGAGAAAUAAGUGUCAUCUUUUAAACAUAAAAUGUGAUAAAUGCAAUUAAGUUAAACAAAACAUGGUAUAUUGUGAGGAAACAUCCACAUAAUAUAUAAAUCAAUGUAUCUUUAUUAUUUUUUGUUACAAAAUGCAUCAAAAAUUCUAAAGAGAUAUUGUUUAAAUCGCUCUUAUAAUAUAUCGUAAUGAACCAAAACUAAUAAAGAGGUAUCAACUCAUAUAUUAUUUGGACUUGUCUCCAUAGUAUACAAUAUUUUGUUUAACUUAAUUGCAUUUAUAACAUUUUUUGUUUAAAAAUCAUACUUAUUUCUUAUGCAAUGGUGGUCAGUGCAACAAAAGUAUAAAAAUUAAGGGGGUGUGUGUAGGUGUAGAAAAGUGAGGGGUGGUUUGUGUAAUUUUACUAAAAUUCAGGGGGUGUCAGUGUAAUUUACUCAUAAUAAUAAGAGAAAAAAUAUGUGCACC